Molecule: non-coding RNA, 24 nt
Filed under: Arabidopsis thaliana (thale cress)
Lineage: Eukaryota; Viridiplantae; Streptophyta; Magnoliopsida; Brassicales; Brassicaceae
Source: RNAcentral
CCAAACCCGUCCUACCACUAACCC